ACCCGCUGAACUUAAGCAUAUCAAUAAGCGGAGGAAAAGAAACCAACAGGGAUUGCCUUAGUAACGGCGAGUGAAGCGGCAACAGCUCAAAUUUGAAAUCUGGCCUCUUUGGGGUCCGAGUUGUAAUUUGCAGAGGGCGCUUUGGCGUUGGCAGCGGUCCAAGUUCCUUGGAACAGGACGUCACAGAGGGUGAGAAUCCCGUACGUGGUCGCUAGCCUUCGCCGUGUAAAGCCCCUUCGACGAGUCGAGUUGUUUGGGAAUGCAGCUCUAAAUGGGAGGUAAAUUUCUUCUAAAGCUAAAUACUGGCCAGAGACCGAUAGCGCACAAGUAGGGUGAUCGAAAGAUGAAAAGCACUUUGGAAAGAGAGUCAAACAGCACGUGAAAUUGUUGAAAGGGAAGCGCUUGCAGCCAGACUUGCCUGUAGUUGCUCAUCCGGGCUUUUGCCCGGUGCACUCUUCUGCGGGCAGGCCAGCAUCAGUUUGGGCGGUUGGAUAAAGGUCUCUGUCAUGUACCUCUCUUCGGGGAGGCCUUAUAGGGGAGACGACAUGCAACCAGCCCAGACUGAGGUCCGCGCAUUUGCUAGGAUGCUGGCGUAAUGGCUGU
This 603-nucleotide ribosomal RNA is filed under the name uncultured fungus. Its description in RNAcentral is "eukaryotic LSU rRNA". It matches the Rfam family "Eukaryotic large subunit ribosomal RNA", at positions 23 to 641 of the family's 3401-position model. Lineage: Eukaryota; Fungi. The record is from RNAcentral.